This 780-nucleotide long non-coding RNA is filed under the name Mus spicilegus (steppe mouse). RNAcentral describes it as "lncRNA (ENSMSIG00000025783.1)". Lineage: Eukaryota; Metazoa; Chordata; Mammalia; Rodentia; Muridae. The record is from RNAcentral.
UUUUUUUUUAAGGUCCUAGUAGAUAGGUUUUUCUCACUCCUUCCAUUCCUCUGGUUGUUUUUGAUCUUUAAAGUACACUUGGAAAGCAGAUGAACACUUUCAUAAGGCCAGUGGCAGAUAUUUUGGUUAAUUAAGAAAAAUACCAAUAAAAGAGAAGACAGUGACUAUGGGAGCAGCCAUCCAUGUCUUUGUGCCAAGUGUUCGUUUCAUGACCAGUGGGUAAUCUGAAGAAGGCAUUCUGAAUUUGUCUUAGAAGUGCAACUCUCCUUUCAUCGACAGCAAAUGAAAAACUUCACAGCAGCAGACAGGGCUGGAUGAGAAAAGAACAGUUGAUUUCACAAACCCAGAAUCUUCAUUCAAGUUAAAAUUCACAAAUAAAGCAAAUGUUCUUGAAAAUCAAGCUUCUCCGGCAUGGUUUAGAAAAAAAGAUUCAUCAUCAUUGAAUGACACAGGAACAGCUGUUACAGAGGCCAUGAAAUGAAAGUGCCACGUUCCAGGUAAUAGUUAGAAUGACAGUUUGUCUUUAUUAGAAUCAAUGAUGAACAAAUUAAAAAUAGAGCAGUGUCGAAUAGCAACACACAAACUAAAACACUUACUUUGAAAAGUUGCAUUGUCUCCUUCAAUUUGGUAAUACAGCUGAGUUGAAAAACACCCUGGGAAAUAGGAAAAUCCAGAUCUCAUAACUAUGCAAUCUAUUAUGAAUAUGAAUGCAGUAUCUCCAAGCAACCUGAGACAAUGCAGGCAAUAUACGCUUUAUGGAGCCAAGUGAGAAUCGUUCCG